Molecule: long non-coding RNA, 975 nt
Organism: Zootermopsis nevadensis
Lineage: Eukaryota; Metazoa; Arthropoda; Insecta; Blattodea; Termopsidae
Source: RefSeq, a predicted model, not a curated record
CUCCUAUAAAACAGACAAGAAGCUACUGUAGAAGAACACAGCAGGAAGUUUCCACUCAUUCUGAGGUUGUAAGGAUAAUGGGAAACCCUUGCUUAGUUUUAGUGACUGAUUCCUUAACAAGACUGAAUUGGAGUACGCUGAAACUACAGUUACUUCAUGCUGCAUAAAAGAUGGUGACCACAAUAGGUUACUUCACUGAUGACCAUGGCUGAAAGGAAAUGUGGACUUCCAGCACCCUUCUCUUUCUGUGCAACACACUCUUAUCAGGAAAUAAAUGUAUCUUCAAAGACAAUUCACAGAACAAUUUCAAAAUACACAUGUCAACUCUGAAAGGACCACACUUUUUAGCAUAUGCAUACACAAUUUGGUGAUAUUAAUGCCACUAAUUUUUCUGAAAUUUGUUGAACUGAGGUAGAAUGACAAACAUGGCAGUGGCCUCCAGGUGAUGCAGACCCGAGACUGGCCGAGCACGAUCCAUGCCCCAUGGGCAAGAACUACUGUGCCUCCUCACUGUGUGGCCUGCACACAUCCGUCUUUUGCCGUCGUGUCAACAUGGUAACAUCGCUGUAAAUUUUACUAUUGAUAAUUUUCAGUUCAUGGUCUGCCUUCUUCUUCCUAGCCACGUCUUCUUCACUGCACGGUCUGGAUGAUGUUGCAGUAUCUUCCAAAAUCGAUUCUGGGCAGUCUGGCAGACUGAUAUCAACUACAUUAUUUAAGGACUUUGCCCAACCUUCGCCAUAAUUCUCUCGACAUUUCUCUACAGUUUUUUCAAGGGGCUUUUUCUUCCAAAGUCCUUUCAAAUACUGACGAACUUGUGCUGAAGCUGAAGGAAACACAUUAUUUUUUGUUGCUACUCCAGGGAUUUCAGUCUCCUUUGAUACUGAAAGAAGAAGUUACAGAAGUGAGUCGACAACUACUCUCCUUUACACAGACAAGAUACAAAAUUACAACAAUAAAAAAAAGUACAAAAUAUAA